UGGCCUUGAAAUCGGUGUAUGGUAUGACGGU
RNAcentral lists this non-coding RNA (31 nucleotides) under Rattus norvegicus (Norway rat). Lineage: Eukaryota; Metazoa; Chordata; Mammalia; Rodentia; Muridae. The record is from RNAcentral.